AUGGAUCUACUAGGGAACCCUUUCAAGGGGGUCGUCGGCGAUGUCAAAGGGAGAGCGUCUUGGUACAAGGACGACUGGGUUGCAGGGCUCCGAACUGGCUUCAGGAUAUUGGCACCUACCAUGUAUAUAUUCUUUGCCUCUGCACUCCCUGUCAUCUCCUUCGGAGAGCAGCUGAGCAACGAAACAGAUGGUAUCCUAAGCACAGUUGAAACUCUGGCAUCUACGGCGAUAUGUGGGAUAAUACACGCUAUUCUUGGAGGGCAACCCCUCCUGAUUGUCGGAGUUGCCGAACCUACCAUUAUAAUGUACACGUACCUUUACAAGUUCGCCAAGAAGCAGCCAGAUCUGGGAGAACAGCUAUAUUUGGCUUGGGCUGGAUGGGUCUGCAUUUGGACUGCUAUCAUGCUCUUUCUGUUGGCAAUGUUCAAUGCUUCCAAUGUUAUAAGCAGAUUCACGAGGGUUGCAGGAGAGCUUUUUGGUAUGCUUAUCACCGUCCUCUUCCUGCAACAAGCUAUCAAGGUAUGCCAUGUGCAGCAAAUCGUAGCUCUUUAUUCUGCCCUGCUGAAAAUGCCUAAUACGGGACCCUAUCUAUUGCAGGGAAUUGUAAGCGAGUUCAGUAUGCCGAAAGAUGAUGAGAUUUCUGACCCCAGCUCACCCAUAUACCAGUUCCAGUGGAUUUAUGUCAAUGGCCUACUUGGUGUUAUAUUUUCCAUUGGCUUGCUGUACACUGCACUGAAGACUAGGCGUGCAAGGUCAUGGCUGUAUGGCAUAGGAUGGCUUAGAAGCUUCAUUGCCGAUUAUGGCGUACCGCUGAUGGUGAUUGUGUGGACAGCAUUUUCAUUUACACUACCAAGCAAAGUCCCUUCAGGAGUGCCUAGGAGGCUCUUCAGUCCACUUCCCUGGGAGUCAAUCUCACUGAGACAUUGGACCGUAGCAAAGGAUUUGUUUUCUGUUCCUCCAACAUAUAUAUUUGCAGCCAUCGUGCCUGCUUUGAUGGUCGCAGGACUUUAUUUCUUUGAUCACAGUGUAGCUUCACAGUUGGCUCAGCAAAAGGAGUUCAAUUUGAAGAAGCCUUCUGCCUACCAUUAUGACAUUUUGGUACUUGGAUUCAUGGUCCUACUAUGUGGUUUGCUUGGCAUUCCUCCAUCAAAUGGAGUACUUCCUCAGUCCCCAAUGCAUACAAGAAGCCUUGCUGUCCUCAAGGGGCAGUUGCUACGCAAAAAGAUGCUUCAAACUGCCAAAGAGGGCAUGUCAAACCGUGCGAGCAGUUUGGAAAUCUAUGGCAAGAUGCAGGAAGUGUUCAUCCAAAUGGAUAGCAACCAGAAUGCUAAUUCUGUUGACAAGGACUUGAAGAGCUUGAAGGAUGCUGUGCUGUGGGAAGGUGACGAAGAAGGGAAGUUGGCUGGAGAAUUUGAUCCUAGCAAAUAUAUCGAAGCACAUUUGCCUGUUCGCGUGAACGAACAGAGACUAAGCAACCUGCUGCAAUCCUUACUUGUUGGUGGUUGUGUGGGAGCUAUGCCGGUUAUCAAGAUGAUACCAACUUCGGUCCUCUGGGGUUACUUUGCCUACAUGGCCAUUGAUAGCCUACCUGGGAACCAGUUUUGGGAAAGGUUGCAGCUUCUGUGCAUUGGAGCAAGCCGACGCUACAAGGUCUUGGAAGGCCCACAUGCAUCUUUCGUGGAGUCAGUGCCUUCAAGAACAAUAUCUGCCUUUACGGUCUUCCAGUUUGUGUAUCUCUUGAUAUGCUUCGGCAUAACAUGGAUACCAGUAGCAGGGAUCCUCUUCCCGCUGCCUUUCUUCAUUAUGAUUCUCAUCAGGCAACACCUACUCCCAAAGUUCUUUGAGCCCAAUGACUUGCGGGAACUGGACGCAGCCGAGUACGAAGAACUUGAAGGUGUCCCACAUGAACAAACGCUGGUACGAGUUCAGCUUGGGUUCUCGGCUAAACUUUCUAUCUGUCCAGACUUCGUUUCAUUCUCUGCAACGCCUCAAGGUGUAUUGUCCAUCUUAUGUUACUCUGAAACUCUUGUAUCGUCACGCAGGAGGAAGAUGGCUCAAAUUCAGGAAGCUGUGACAGCAGAGACGACUCUGAAAUAUUGGAUGAGCUCACAACAAACCGUGGAGAGCUGA
RNAcentral lists this ribosomal RNA (2130 nucleotides) under Triticum aestivum (bread wheat). RNAcentral's name for it is "partial small subunit ribosomal RNA". The record is from RNAcentral. Lineage: Eukaryota; Viridiplantae; Streptophyta; Magnoliopsida; Poales; Poaceae.